Molecule: ribosomal RNA, 504 nt
Filed under: uncultured bacterium
Lineage: Bacteria
Description: partial 16S ribosomal RNA
Rfam family: Bacterial small subunit ribosomal RNA
Source: RNAcentral
GAUGAACGCUGGCGGCAGGCCUAACACAUGCAAGUCGGACGGUAGCACAGAGAGCUUGCUCUCGGGUGACGAGUGGCGGACGGGUGAGUAAUGUCUGGGGAUCUGCCCGAUAGAGGGGGAUAACCACUGGAAACGGUGGCUAAUACCGCAUAACGUCGCAAGACCAAAGAGGGGGACCUUCGGGCCUCUCACUAUCGGAUGAACCCAGAUGGGAUUAGCUAGUAGGCGGGGUAACGGCCCACCUAGGCGACGAUCCCUAGCUGGUCUGAGAGGAUGACCAGCCACACUGGAACUGAGACACGGUCCAGACUCCUACGGGAGGCAGCAGUGGGGAAUAUUGCACAAUGGGCGCAAGCCUGAUGCAGCCAUGCCGCGUGUAUGAAGAAGGCCUUCGGGUUGUAAAGUACUUUCAGCGGGGAGGAAGGCGAUGUGGUUAAUAACCGCAUUGAUUGACGUUACCCGCAGAAGAAGCACCGGCUAACUCCGUGCCAGCAGCCGCAGUAA